CAGCAACGUCCACGCGUGCAUACCUCUUCAGUUCUGCUGCAUGGCUUGAUUGCUUUGCGCAUUCCGUGGGUUUCUUGUGUUGCAUACCUGGUCGAAGGCAUUGUAUGGAUUGAUCGAAGUACCUUUUCGUCGUGCUAUGCUUACGUGUAACGUGAUGAACCUCGAAGCGGUCUCUGUUGUCCAUAUCUUUGAUGCUCAUGCGUCGGUGACUUGGCCCAUGGAGCGUCGCUUGGUCUCUCGGAUACGGAAGCUGAUGUGGGCAUGGGGUCUUGUAUGAGAUCCUGUAUUUGCCCUCGUUAAGCGUUCUCGCUUCUCAAAACGACCGCCCAUUGCGUCUCGGCUUGUCCGUGUGUGGUGGGCUACGUUGAUG
This 370-nucleotide unclassified non-coding RNA is filed under the name Atractylodes japonica. Its description in RNAcentral is "partial miscellaneous RNA". The record is from RNAcentral. Lineage: Eukaryota; Viridiplantae; Streptophyta; Magnoliopsida; Asterales; Asteraceae.